CAGGCCUAACACAUGCAAGUCGAGGGGUAUGCCGAUUUAUCGGCAGAGACCGGCGCACGGGUGCGUAACGCGUAUGCAAUCUACCUUUCACAGAGGGAUAGCCCAGAGAAAUUUGGAUUAAUACCUCAUAGUAUAAUGAGUUGGCAUCAACCUAUUAUUAAAGUCACAACGGUGAAAGAUGAGCAUGCGUCCCAUUAGCUAGUUGGUAAGGUAACGGCUUACCAAGGCUACGAUGGGUAGGGGUCCUGAGAGGGAGAUCCCCCACACUGGUACUGAGACACGGACCAGACUCCUACGGGAGGCAGCAGUGAGGAAUAUUGGUCAAUGGGCGCAAGCCUGAACCAGCCAUGCCGCGUGCAGGAUGACGGUCCUAUGGAUUGUAAACUGCUUUUGUACGAGAAGAAACACUCCUUCGUGAAGGAGCUUGACGGUAUCGUAAGAAUAAGGAUCGGCUAACUCCGUGCCAGCAGCCGCGGUAAU
This 480-nucleotide ribosomal RNA is filed under the name uncultured bacterium. RNAcentral's name for it is "bacterial SSU rRNA". It matches the Rfam family "Bacterial small subunit ribosomal RNA", at positions 43 to 524 of the family's 1533-position model. The record is from RNAcentral.